Molecule: ribosomal RNA, 656 nt
Filed under: Bacillus sp. 13531
Lineage: Bacteria; Bacillati; Bacillota; Bacilli; Caryophanales; Bacillaceae
Description: bacterial SSU rRNA
Rfam family: Bacterial small subunit ribosomal RNA
Source: RNAcentral
AGAUGGGAGCUUGCUCCCUGAUGUUAGCGGCGGACGGGUGAGUAACACGUGGGUAACCUGCCUGUAAGACUGGGAUAACUCCGGGAAACCGGGGCUAAUACCGGAUGCUUGUUUGAACCGCAUGGUUCAAACAUAAAAGGUGGCUUCGGCUACCACUUACAGAUGGACCCGCGGCGCAUUAGCUAGUUGGUGAGGUAAUGGCUCACCAAGGCAACGAUGCGUAGCCGACCUGAGAGGGUGAUCGGCCACACUGGGACUGAGACACGGCCCAGACUCCUACGGGAGGCAGCAGUAGGGAAUCUUCCGCAAUGGACGAAAGUCUGACGGAGCAACGCCGCGUGAGUGAUGAAGGUUUUCGGAUCGUAAAGCUCUGUUGUUAGGGAAGAACAAGUGCCGUUCAAAUAGGGCGGCACCUUGACGGUACCUAACCAGAAAGCCACGGCUAACUACGUGCCAGCAGCCGCGGUAAUACGUAGGUGGCAAGCGUUGUCCGGAAUUAUUGGGCGUAAAGGGCUCGCAGGCGGUUUCUUAAGUCUGAUGUGAAAGCCCCCGGCUCAACCGGGGAGGGUCAUUGGAAACUGGGGAACUUGAGUGCAGAAGAGGAGAGUGGAAUUCCACGUGUAGCGGUGAAAUGCGUAGAGAUGUGGAGGAACACC